Etheostoma spectabile (orangethroat darter) is the source of this 95-nucleotide long non-coding RNA. RefSeq lists it as uncharacterized. The transcript has 3 exons. The record is from RefSeq and is a predicted model, not a curated record. NCBI's taxonomy places the organism in Eukaryota, Metazoa, Chordata, Actinopteri, Perciformes, Percidae.
CUAAAGCCCUAUUCGCACAGGACUAGUAUUACCUGGUGACUUCUAGUCAUUUGUAAUAAUCCCGGAGGUUGUCUGUGAUCUUAAUCCCGUGCAAA